ACGCCGACGACGCUGCCAAUGGCCGACUGGGUCGGGAAGGUCUCUGCCGGCCGUAAGGCCCGGGGUCCUCGCGCCUCCCGAAACGUCGCAGGUACUAAGCAGACAAGUGCCUUGAAACAAGAAGAUGCUUCUAAAAGGAAAGCCGAACUAGAAGCAGUUGUCAGAAAGAAGAUUGAGUUUGAGAGAAAAGCUCUACGUAUUGUUGAACAGCUUUUAGAAGAGAAUAUUACAGAAGAAUUCCUAAGGGAGUGUGGGAAGUUCAUCACACCUGCUCAUUAUAGUGAUGUCGUGGAUGAGCGUUCUAUUAUCAAACUCUGUGGCUAUCCCUUAUGUCGCAAGAAGCUAGGAAUUGUACCAAAACAGAAAUAUAAAAUUUCUACCAAAACCAAUAAAGUCUAUGAUAUUACUGAAAGAAAGUGUUUUUGCAGCAAUUUUUGUUAUAAAGCAUCGAAAUUUUUCGAAGCACAAAUUCCUAAAACUCCAGUGUGGGUUCGAGAAGAAGAAAGAUGUCCUGAUUUUCAGCUGCUACAGGAAGGACAAAGUGGUCAUUCUGGAGAAGAAAUACAGUUAUGCAGUAAGGCCAUUAAAACAUCAGAUGUUGACAGUCCUGGCCAUUUUGAGAAGCAUGAUGAAUCUAGUUCUUCUGGCACUCAUAAUGAUAGUAGCAGUGAUAAUGAGCAAGACUUUGUUUCCUCCAUUCUACAAGGAAACAGACCAAGUGCAACGGGUAUAAGGCCACAGCUGCACAAAAAAAGCAUAAUGAAAAAGAAAGCUGGUCAAAAGGUUGACUCCAAACAUGAAAGCAAAGAACAGACAGUAAUAGAUGUCACUGAGCAGUUAGGCAAUUGCAGAUUAGACAGUGAGGAGAAAGCUGCUGCUUGUGAACUUCCUUUACAGAAUGUAUGUACUCAGAUUUCUUCAGAUAGGUCUCUGCAAGAAAAAUUAGAAGCUUCAAAAAUUUCUGAAAAUAAAUACAGUAGUUCAAAAAUAACUCUUGUAGGCAUAAGUAAGAAAAGUGCUGAGCAUUUUAAGAGGAAAUUUGCCAAAUCGAACCAAGUUUCUAGGUCAGCUUCUAGUUCAGUGCAGGUGUGCCCUGAAGUUGCAAAGGCAAACUUACUUAAAGCCCUGAAGGAGACUUUGAUUGAGUGGAAGACAGAAGAAACUUUGAGGUUUUUGUAUGGCCAGAAUUAUGCUUCUGUAUGUCUGAAACCCUCUUCAGCCCCUCUGGUUAAGGAAGAAGAACUUGAUGAAGAUGAUGUGAACUGUGACCCAGACAGUCAUUCCCCUGCCUUGCAGGAAUCUCAGAACAGCUUGGAUGAGUCUUUACCGUUUAGAGCCUCAGAUACAGCCAUUAAACCACUGCCAAGUUAUGAGAACUUGAAAAAAGAAACUGAAACAUUAAAUCUAAGGAUCAGGGAGUUUUAUAGAGGACGAUAUGUUUUGAAUGAAGAAACCACCAAAUCACAAGACUCGGAAGAGCAUGAUCCCACCUUUCCACUGAUAGAUUCAAGUUCUCAGAACCAGAUUAGAAAACGCAUCGUACUUGAAAAAUUGAGUAAAAUAUUGCCUGGACUUAUGGGGCCUCUUCAGAUUACAUUAGGAGAUGUUCACACACAACUUAAAAAUCUUGUCCGAACUUUCAGAUUAACAAACAGAAAUAUUAUACAUAAACCUGCAGAGUGGACCUUAAUUGCUUUGGUGUUGCUGUCAUUACUGACCUCAAUUCUCGGCAUUCAGAAGCAUUCUCAGGAAAAUGUAAUGUUUACACAGUUUUUGACCACCCUGCUUGAAGAAUUACACUUAAAGAAUGAAGACCUUGAAAGUUUAACCAUCAUAUUUAGAACCAGCUGUUAACCACAGUGGCUACUGUCCUAUAACAGAACUUUAUAGGUUCUGUUUCUUGCAAUCCAGGAAACUCGUUGCUAUCAGCUUCAUACUCAAAUCUAGACCAUCCCAUCCUGCAUGUCCCAUCUGAUGUUUCUUCCCAGCAAGUAGCAGUUUACUUCAACCAAACUGCUGCAGUGAUCUUUGAGAAUAUCCUCAUCCUACUUCCCUCCUCAGCCCAGCCAAUACCUUAGUCAUCUCAUGUGCAGAUAAACAGGUAAUCCGUGAAGACCAAAUAGAUGAACUUACAUUGACCAUUUCUGGAAUUCUAGCCACAAUAAUUGUACAGUUAGAGCUACUUAUCAGUCACCACCGGACAGAGUGACUUCACCAGAUAGAGGAGAACCAUUAUUCCAACAAGGAUAAGCAAGUCCUUGCAUCCUAGAUAGAAGAUAUAGUAUUUCUACUUAUUUGAAAAUGAAAGCUGAAAUCUUAAGUUGAAACUUCAAGAAAAUAUAAUGACCUGUUUCUUCUGGAUUAUUACAGCCAUCAUAUCAGUUGACCAGAAAAUUGAGAAAAGUCCCAUUUUAGCCUCAUAGUCCAACUCUGGAUUCUAAAGAACAGUGAAGAAUUAGGUCAAUAAAUAAUACAAUUUAGGGCCUCCCUGGUGGUGCUGUGGUUAAGAAUCCACCUGCCAAUGCAGGGGGCACAGGUUCGAGCCCUGGCCCAGGAGAUCCCACACGGAGCAACUAAGAUCCUGCGGAGCAACUAAGCCCGUGCACCACAACUACUGUGCCUGUGCGCUAGAGCCCGCAUGCCACAACUACUGAAGCCCGAGUGCCUAGAGCCUGUGCUCCACAACAAGAGAAGCCACCGCAGUAAGCCCAUGCACCACAAAGAAGAGUAGCCCCUGCUCACCACAACUAGACAAAGCCCGCAGGCAGCAAUGAAGACCCAACACAGCCAAAAAUAAAUAAUUUAUAAAAAUAAAUACAAUUUAAGAUGAAA
Molecule: RNA transcript, 2832 nt
Organism: Lagenorhynchus albirostris (white-beaked dolphin)
Lineage: Eukaryota; Metazoa; Chordata; Mammalia; Artiodactyla; Delphinidae
Gene: RPAP2
Gene name: RNA polymerase II associated protein 2
Exons: 14
Source: RefSeq, a predicted model, not a curated record